This 1901-nucleotide unclassified non-coding RNA is filed under the name Leishmania donovani. RNAcentral describes it as "gene:LdHU3.15.1340(CDS-product:succinate_dehydrog enase_putative)". The record is from RNAcentral. Lineage: Eukaryota; Euglenozoa; Kinetoplastea; Trypanosomatida; Trypanosomatidae.
CCUUCAUCUUCACUCGACACACAGACGCGCCGCUGUCGCCACCGCCCCGGAAAAGGCAGCAAGCACACGUGAAACCCUAAAAUGCCGUCCGCGCCUCUCCCUGGCCAACUGGCGAACUACAGCAGCCCGCUGUACAUGUACCGCCACCUCAUAAAGAACUCGACGGCCAAGACGCCGCAGCUGUACACGGCCAAGGACAACAGUAAAACAGCGAUGCACCUCCUCACGCGGCGCGCCGCCAACGCGAACUACACUGUGAACCGGUGGUAUCUGAAGGAGAAGGUCGACUCUAGCAACCGCAUGCGUCUCGAGGGACUCUACGAGUGCGUGCUCUGCGCCUCUUGCACCGGCUCCUGCCCGCAGUACUGGUGGAACCGUGAGCACUUCUUGGGUCCUGCUGUGCUGCUGCAGUCAUACCGCUGGCUCGUCGAGCCCCUCGACCGUGACUUUGACGAGCGCGUGCGCAUGUUCGAGACGGGCAACCUGGUGAACAUGUGCCACAACAUCUUCAACUGCAGCAUCACCUGCCCCAAGUUCCUCAACCCUGGUCUGGCGUCGAAGGAGAUCAAGCGCUUAUCGUCUCCGUCGGCGAAGCGCGUUGGGCCGGCGAUCGAGAUGGAGCCCGUUACGAGCGAGAAGGAAGCGGGAAAACGAAGUCUCGCGCAAAUGCAGUGAUGUCAGCGCGGAUGCGGUAUGGCGUGCUGUGUCGCCUUCGGGGAGGGAGGGAGGGGGGAGGCACCAUCGUGUUUCAGUUCUGUUCGCCGUGAGAACGCGCACGCGUCUGCUUGUGCCCCGUUGCGCUGCGAGGGGGGAGGGGGGCACCAGCAGAGGCGGUCGAUCCGCUCAAGCGCGUCUUUUAAUGCGAUCACUCUAUUAGUAGUAGUAGCCAGUGUAUUGUCCUUUUCGCCUUUUACACAUCAUCUCGAGAUCUUCGCGUGCUGCGACUCUCACCUUUCUCUUUCCUCGGCAUGUGGGGAAGUCGCCGUUAUGUGGCCCGACUCGGCUGGAUACCCCAGAGGGGGUGCGGUGCGGCGGGCAGGUGUGUGUGUGUGUGUGUGCGUGUGUGUGUUUGUGCUCACCAAAUCUGCAGAGAUGGAGACGGCCUCAGCGGAGCGGAGACGUGGCUGCAGAAGUAGAUGGCUGCGCCUCCUCUAUCGCGCCAAUGCCUGGACCAUCAAUAUCAUCUCUGACGUCUUUGCGUGCUCUCCGCCGCCUCGCCCCUCUUGUGUGCGUUGCGAGAGAGAGAAGGGGGUGGAAGCAGAGGGGUGCGCACGGCACGUCUACAGCCCGACAAGACCGCUCUAGUAAACCCUCCAUGCACACGUGCGCCUACACGAGUGAGGGAGACAGUCUACGCAUGUCGAUGUGGUGGAGUGUCCUUGCUGUCCAUGUUGUCGUUGUCAGCUCACUGUCUUUCACCCUCGACCACGACUGAAUGACCCACCUCGUAACGCGAAUGCGUGCAUGCGCGCCGACACGCUCACGGGGGGGGGGGGGGCUCGGUGCCUUCCAAGAUCCAUCUGCGUCACCGAUGCAGAAGAAUCGUGGGUGCCGCGCCGCCACAGGUGUGCGUCUCCCUGACUGAAGGAAACGGUGCUGUGGCCGCGGUUGCGCCACAACGGGAUCCACACCCUCUUCUUGCACACGUGUAUGUUUCUCGAUGAUUUUAUGAAGUGAAGGCACGCACGGAAGAGUAGGAUGCACGUGCGUGCAGCCGUGUGCGCGACUACCUCGGCUUCCUCCCGCACUCUCAUCUCACGCGACCCGCCUCACCUCCCUCGGCCUCUGCCCUCAUCUCAACACGCCCUUGAUCCGGCCUCCCACGACCGCCACUAUCACCUGAUGUGUGUAUGUGUGUGUGUGUGUCCCUCUCUGUGCGGGUGGAAUACGCACCCACGAAG